Molecule: ribosomal RNA, 396 nt
Filed under: uncultured bacterium
Lineage: Bacteria
Description: partial 16S ribosomal RNA
Rfam family: Bacterial small subunit ribosomal RNA
Source: RNAcentral
AUACGUAGGGAGCGAGCGUUGUCCGGAAUUACUGGGUGUAAAGGGUGCGUAGGCGGGGAUGCAAGUCAGAUGUGAAAUGUAUGGGCUCAACCCAUGAACUGCAUUUGAAACUGCAACUCUUGAGUGAGGUAGAGGUAAGCGGAAUUCCUAGUGUAGCGGUGAAAUGCGUAGAUAUUAGGAGGAACAUCGGUGGCGAAGGCGGCUUACUGGGACUUUACUGACGCUGAGGCACGAAAGCGUGGGGAGCAAACAGGAUUAGAUACCCUGGUAGUCCACGCUGUAAACGAUGAUGACUAGGUGUGGGGGGACUGAACCCUUCCGUGCCGCAGUUAACACAAUAAGUCAUCCACCUGGGGAGUACGGCCGCAAGGUUGAAACUCAAAUGAAUUGACGGGG